Molecule: ribosomal RNA, 519 nt
Filed under: uncultured bacterium
Lineage: Bacteria
Description: bacterial SSU rRNA
Rfam family: Bacterial small subunit ribosomal RNA
Source: RNAcentral
ACCCUGACGCAGCAACGCCGCGUGAGUGAUGAAGGCCUUCGGGUCGUAAAGCUCUGUCAAGUGGGAAGAACCCUUGUAUCCGGAUAAUGGAUGCAAGCUGACGGUACCACUGAAGGAAGCACCGGCUAACUCCGUGCCAGCAGCCGCGGUAAUACGGAGGGUGCAAGCGUUAUUCGGAAUUACUGGGCGUAAAGGGCGCGCAGGCGGCCAUGUAAGUCAGUUGUGAAAGCCCGGGGCUCAACCCCGGAAGUGCGACUGAAACUGUGUGGCUUGAGUAUGGUAGAGGGAAGUGGAAUUCCUGGUGUAGCGGUGAAAUGCGUAGAUAUCAGGAGGAACACCGGUGGCGAAGGCGACUUCCUGGACCAUAACUGACGCUGAGGCGCGAAGGCGUGGGUAGCAAACAGGAUUAGAUACCCUGGUAGUCCACGCAGUAAACGUUGAUCACUAGGUGUUGCGGGUAUUGAUGCCUGCAGUGCCGGAGCUAACGCAUUAAGUGAUCCGCCUGGGGAGUACGGUCGC